This 222-nucleotide ribosomal RNA is filed under the name uncultured bacterium. RNAcentral describes it as "partial 16S ribosomal RNA". It matches the Rfam family "Bacterial small subunit ribosomal RNA", at positions 109 to 334 of the family's 1533-position model. The record is from RNAcentral.
AGUAAUGUAUGGGGAUCUGCCUGAUGGCGGGGGAUAACUACUGGAAACGGUAGCUAAUACCGCAUAAUGUCUACGGACCAAAGCGGGGGACCUCCGGGCCUCUUGCCAUCGGAUGUGCCCAGAUGGGAUUAGCUAGUAGGUGGGGUAACGGCUCACCUAGGCGACGAUCCCUAGCUGGUCUGAGAGGAUGAUCAGCCACACUGGGACUGAGACACGGCCCAG